AUUGAACGCUGGCGGCAGGCCUAACACAUGCAAGUCGAGCGGUUGAGGUAGCUUGCUACCGAUGCAGCGGCGGACGGGUGAGUAAUACAUGGGAAUCUGCCUGGUAGUGGGGGACAACGUUUCGAAAGGAACGCUAAUACCGCAUACGCCCUACGGGGGAACGGGGGGGAUCGCAAGACCUCUCGCUAUCAGAUGAGCCC
Molecule: ribosomal RNA, 200 nt
Filed under: uncultured bacterium
Lineage: Bacteria
Description: partial 16S ribosomal RNA
Rfam family: Bacterial small subunit ribosomal RNA
Source: RNAcentral